This is a long non-coding RNA of Pygoscelis adeliae (Adelie penguin), 564 nucleotides long. RefSeq lists it as uncharacterized. The transcript is spliced from 2 exons. The record is from RefSeq and is a predicted model, not a curated record. Lineage: Eukaryota; Metazoa; Chordata; Aves; Sphenisciformes; Spheniscidae.
CCGCGCUAGUGGUGUUGCCGUUGGUGUGUUACUAGUUAACUGGAAUCCUUGGAUUAGAAACUCCCGCGGCGCCGGGAGCACGGCGUGCAGAGGGCUGAGAACAGAGAUGCUUCCUUAGUUUGCGUUUAGUUUGGAUAGGGAGGGUUAGAAAGUUUUCUAUCCCACGUCAUUUUGGUAGGGUCAGCUGGACUUAAAGAAAAGCUAAUGCAGCUGUUUGAUAACGGCAAAAAGGGUAAUUUAAAUUGUUUUCUGGUCUUCCACAUAGCCCGUAAGUGGCACAGAAAUGGCAUCAAGAAACCCAGAUCCCAUAGAUACGAAUCUCUCAAAGGGGUUGAUCCCAAGUUUCUGAGGAACAUGAGAUUUGCAAAGAAACACAACAAAAAGGGGCUGAAGAAGAUGCAGGCCAACAAUGCCAAGCAGGCUGCUCAGCAGAAAAAGGACUGACAUGGUUUAAGACAAAAGAACCAGUUUUCUUAUUAGCAUGCGUGUUACAGCAUUUUUGUAAAAAUAAAACUGGAUGUAACAAAGUCUUCACCUCCCGAAUUUGAGGAGAGCCCUCCAAAC